AGAGUUUGAUUAUGGCUCAGAGCGAACGUUAGCGGCGGGCCUAACACAUGCAAGUCGAACGAGAAUGUAGGCUUCGGUCUACUAGUAAAGUGGCAGACGGGUGCGUAACACGUGGGUAAUCUACCUUCCGGCGGGGGACAACAGUCCGAAAGGAUUGCUAAUACCGCAUACGUCAGCGGCGCCUACGGGCGCUGUUGGGAAAGAUGGCCUCUCCUUGGAAGCUGUCACCGGAAGAUGAGCCCGCGCCCCAUCAGCUAGUUGGUGAGGUAAUGGCUCACCAAGGCUAAGACGGGUAGCUGGUCUGAGAGGAUGAUCAGCCACACUGGGACUGCGACACGGCCCAGACUCCUACGGGAGGCAGCAGUGGGGAAUAUUGGGCAAUGGGCGAAAGCCUGACCCAGCCACGCCGCGUGAGUGAUGAAGGCCUUCGGGUCGUAAAGCUCUGUGGGGAGGGACGAACAAAUCUGGGGCUAAUCACCCGGAUCCUGACGGUACCUCCUUAGCAAGCACCGGCUAACCCUGUGCCAGCCGCCGCGGUAA
RNAcentral lists this ribosomal RNA (540 nucleotides) under uncultured delta proteobacterium. RNAcentral's name for it is "bacterial SSU rRNA". It matches the Rfam family "Bacterial small subunit ribosomal RNA", at positions 8 to 523 of the family's 1533-position model. The record is from RNAcentral. Lineage: Bacteria; Deltaproteobacteria.